Molecule: long non-coding RNA, 7242 nt
Filed under: Nicotiana tabacum (common tobacco)
Lineage: Eukaryota; Viridiplantae; Streptophyta; Magnoliopsida; Solanales; Solanaceae
Description: long non-coding RNA (NTAB_LNC004483)
Source: RNAcentral
AUCCUUUCUAGAUAAAAAUUCCAGCCAAAAUCCCAUCUCCUAAGCAAAGAACAGAAGCCACACCCCCAACAAAAAGACCUUCUUCUUCCUCCAUGAAAGUCUAGCUAUGAACCCCCUGAAAAUAUCUCAAAUUCCAGCUCCAAAAUACCUUUAAACCAGUCAAAAAAUGGCUCCAAAAUCAUUCCAAAAAUGCAAUAGCUGAAAUCACCCAAAAACAACCCCCUAAAAUCCAAAAACUCAGUGAAAACAACAUCAAAGGCUACUCCAUAUCCGCCAAAAACCAGCUAAAGAAACCUAUUUAAAAAUACUUCAAAACUGCCUUCAUUUUUUGAGUCGAGUUUGUCACAUGAUUAUGCUUCGAGUCGAGGUCCUCCGAUGAGUUUUUUCCGUCUAGGUUGCUGAUCGAGUUUCCGGCAAGGCCUAGUUGAAUCGUUGAAAUACAUAAGCUCAAGAACAGAGUGUUGUCUUAGGAGGAGAAUGGUUGUAAAAGCUGAUGCCUUUGCGAUACUCUUCUAAUGGCAAAUAUGUAAGUCUUUCUUCUUCUUAUUUUUCAUAAUUUUCUGGCGUGUAUCUUUAAAAGCUUUAUUUUUUUUAAAUAAUUUUUGUUCUUCUUUAAAGUUUGGAUCCUUUUCACUUAAUUCUUGGCUAAAGUUUGUACUUGUUCCAGAAGUUCUUGUAAAGUCUUGUUAACCGUAAAUGUUUCAAUCUAGCUGCAAGAUCUAAUGUUGAACUUGGUAUUUUUACAAGUCUGAUUGUACUAUUCUUUACCUAAUUGCUCCAUUUUCCUUUUCUUUCUUUUAUCAUUUGGUUUCCAUAAAUAUGCAAAUUGUGUGUCCAAAGAGAAAUUUUUGGUGGUGGGUUUUGGACGAAAAUUUUGGGGAAAAUGAAUUUUUUAUGUUAGAAAAUUUAAUUCGCCAAAGUAUAAUUACAAAAGAUAAAUCACAUUAUCUCUACCACGUUAAUCAGCCAUAAUUCAUGGCUUCACUCUCAUCUCAAAUCUUAGGAAUAAUUGAAAUAUGAAUAUUCGUAGUUUGCUUUAGGCGCGAUUAAAUAAAUCAUCGUGACUAUGAGUACGAUUGUUGUGGCAUGGUCACGAUACGUAAUCCCCAAUUCGGGUGUGCAUUUCAUGUGACCCGAUCGUAACAACUUUGAACAUUAAUAAAAUAAACAUAUCACGAACCGCGAGUCCAUUUCAUGUAGCGUGAUUUGCGGUGUGUUCCAAAACGGCAAGUGUACGACCAUCGUAACUUGUUCAAGAAAUAAUUCCAUAAAUUCUAAAAGCGGUUUAAAAUAAUUAAAUGCGGUUAUAAAGUUAAAAAUGCAUAAUAGGUUUAAAACAUGUAAUUUUACAGAUAAUUAGGCCAAUUAUUAAUAGUUAAGAGACCAUGCUAAAACCACGGAACCUAGGAAGGCCUAACACCUUCUCCCGGGUUAACAGAAUUCCUUACCCAGAUUUCUGUGUUCGCAAACCAUAAAUAAGAGUUAAUUUCCUCGAUUUGGGAUUUUACAAUAAACCGAUGACUUAGGACACCAUAAAUAUCCUAAGUGGCGAAUCUGAAAAUAAAAUAUUCUCAUUUCUAUUAAUGUCACUUAAAUUGGAUAAACUCCCCUAUAUACCCUUUUCCGGGUAUAAAAAGGAGGUGUGACAGCUCUAGCGACUUCACUAGGUAUUGACAACCCAGAAUCUCUGGUUCAAGGUUCAGAAUUCGAGUUUAGAAUAGCUGUUAUGAUUGACUUUUAUUUGUUAUCUGAUUUUUACAUGUUUGAGCCUAAUGUGUUAAAUGCCGCUUUUUAGCGCUUUGAUUUUGCUUGAACUGUAUAUAAAUUGUUACGAAACUCUUCUUCUCUCUGAGUCUUCUAAAUCAUCUGGGAAGUGUGCACUUCGUGUGACUUCUUUUCUGUUAGAGUCAUAUCCCAAUUUUAGAACGAGGUUCGUACAAGUUGCAAAGCCGGUGAAGCUUAUGUAUUCCCGGUACGCUGCCCCCCCCCCCUCAACUUGAGAUGUCCGCUCGGGUAAGCCAGGUCUAGAACAAUACCCCUAGGUUUUAAACCUAGAAUAACAUAGCCUCAUGCCGGAUCCCUAGUAGGAACACUUGUUUGCAUCACGUGCAAUUGACUUUGGGGACUCAACACAGGGGUUGGGUCCGUCUAGGACAGGUGUACCCAAAUUAAAAGACCGUCCUGAUGCAUCUUACGUGCUACUUGCGUAUCUGUCUGUUUCAGCUUGCAUGUUGACUGGCUUCUAGAAUAGGGAAAGAAAAUGCAAAAAAAAAGAAAAAAAAAAUUAAAAAAAAUCAAGAGUGAGAGGUAGGUAUUUGAAAUUUCUGAAACUCUCCCGAAAUUCCAAAAAAAAAAGAAGAAAAAAACCAAUGUUUUCAAAAGUCAUAUUUCCCUGUUCCGUCAAAUAUGGACGAACUACGCGGGUCUGAUUCUCACCGGAUGUGAGAUACAUAGGCAAACCUCAUUGGUUCCGGCCCACAAUUUUCAAAAAAUCCAAAAAUAUUUUCAUUUACUUCCUUUUUUAGAAAAGUCUUUCUUUAAGACCCCAAUUUUUAAAAAUUUAAAAAUAUUUUCCUUUAAUUCCUUUUUAGUAAUGUCUUUCUUUGAGACCCCAAUUUUAAAAAAAUCCAAAAUAUUUUCUCUAGAAGUUUUUCUUUCGAAAAUUAAAAAGAAAAUUCAAGAUUCAAAAAUAUUAUUUUUAGAAGUCUUUUUUUUUAUUUAUAAUUUUAACAUAAAAGUCCAAAAAUUCAAAAAUAUUCUCUUUCUUCUUUAGAAGUUUUUCUUUCGAAAUUCCCAAAAAAAGUCGAAAUCAAAAAAUAUUUUCUUUCUUCUUUAUAAGUCUUUCUUCCAGAAAUUAAAAAAAAAAAUUAAAAUCCAAAAAAAAAUAGUUUAUUUACUCUAUUCAUGAUCUUCCCGAACUAUGCAAGAUUUGAUUCAUGUUCCCCACAUGAUACAUAGGCAACCCACAUCAGGUUCGAUCAAAUGAUUUUGAGAAAAAAAGGAAAACAGAAGGUGAAAAAAAAGGAAAAAAAGAAGGAAGAAUGAUAAUAAUAAGGACCGACUGAGCCCACUCUAACAUGUCUUUUGUUUCAAAUUGUGAAGAAAGUUUGAGGUGAUCGGUUUGUGGUAAGCUGACAACACAAAAUCCAAAGUGAAAAUGACAACUGACAUCGAAGCUGUUGCAAGCAGUCAGAGACUCAAGGUCAGAGGGUUCAACAAUAGUCUAUUGUGGUUGAGGAAAAUAGAGUACUGAAACAAAAAAUGACUAAAUUGUGUCAAGCAUGGGCCAACGGCUAAGGACCGCCCUUUUCUUCUCAUGGUUUUCCAGAGUUCACACCCAUCUCGACUAAUGCCAUUCCGGUCUCAUUGUCUGAUCAAUCCUAUCCACCUAGGUUCAGUCAUUAUCCCAACUGUACGACUACAACUGGAACUUCUGUUUCAUGCUCUCAAAGUUUGUCAUUGACAACCAAUCAGACAACCUCUACUGUUAUGCCCGUCUUCACCAUCCCACAGCCGACGGUGGUGUAGAGGAAAACUCAUAAGUCACAAUUUGCUACCCAACAAGAGCAGUACCACUCGUACUUAUUUAAUCUUCCUGCAAACAUUGAGAAUCCCGCCCGAAAGAUGGCACAGGAAGAAAUGACCCAAAAAGUGAAAAGCUUAGAAUAACAGUUGAAAAACAUGCAAGGGUUGGCUGGUCAGAAGAGCAUUGCCUUCAAGGAUUUAUGUUUGUUCCCCGAUGUCCACUUGCCACCUGGUUUCAAGACUCCCAAAUUUGAAAAGUACGAUGGACACGGAGAUCCCAUAGUCCACCUGAAAAGCUAUUGCAAUCAGCUAAGAGCUGUGGGAAGAAAUGAAGAAUUACUAAUAGCUUAUUUUGGGGAAAGCCUUACGGGAACAACAUCCGAAUGGUUUUUGGAUCAAGACACAUCUCGUUGGUACGUCUGGGAUGACAUGGCACAAGCCUUCGUCAAACAGUUCCAAUACAACAUUGACAUUNNNNNNNNNNNNNNNNNNNNNNNNNNNNNNNNNNNNNNNNNNNNNNNNNNNNNNNNNNNNNNNNNNNNNNNNNNNNNNNNNNNNNNNNNNNNNNNNNNNNNNNNNNNNNNNNNNNNNNNNNNNNNNNNNNNNNNNNNNNNNNNNNNNNNNNNNNNNNNNNNNNNNGAAUGGCCUUAAGACAGGCAGAAUUAUAAGUCAAGCAGCUCUCAAAGCUGCAACUCAGGCUGUCCAAAUUGAAUCUAGUGACACGAAUGAGAAGGUUGAAGAAAUCAUGAUGACAUCAGGGUCGAGAACAGGUCCUAGGAGAACAUCUCGAAGGUAUGAGCAACCUCCUCAGGUUUUCCAUGACUCCCCUGAGCACUAUUAUCCACCUCAGAACCCUCAAUACUCUAUUACUGCAUCUUAGUAUAUUGCCCGACCACCAAGACACCCCAGAAGGCGAGCACUAGCAUCGCAAAAUCUCCACCAGCCUCCACAAAAUUUUUAGGCGCCCUAUAAUCCACAUCCAAGCCAGAGGUAUAAAGGGGAACAAAGGUUGAAAGAUAAUUUUACACCAAUAGGAGAGUCCUAUGCAAGUUUAUUUGAGAAGUUAAAGCAUUAUGACAUGAUUGCACUCAUUCCUCCAAAUCACAUGGACCCACGUGCAAGAAACUUCGACCCUUCUAAAAGGUGUGAAUACCAUUCUAAUGCUCAAAAGCACAAUGUUGAAAGCUAUCGGGAUUUGAAAAGAGAAAUAGAAAGGAUGAUCCAGGAAAAACUGAUUGUGAUCCAAGACAGUGACACCCAGAAUAUCGUGCAGAAUCCUUUACCUGCACAUGAUGAUGCACACUUUAUGGGGAUGAUACCUGGUGACAUGGAGUAUGAGAAUCCUCUCGGAAACUUGCUGACUUAAAUUGGAGAAGGCCAUGGUGAUUCUGAUGAGCAGAUCUAUGACUAAAUGUCAAGCUUAGCAAUUGAAAAGUCAUUUUCUCCUCACUAGGAAGGAGUCUUGGUAGUUUGUUUUGAUAUUUUUUCUAUUAUGUGGGUUAUUUCAGGGUCGUGACCCAGAUUCUAUUUGUUUUAUUGAGUCAAACCCUUCUAUCCCUCCAUUCUAUUUAUGUUAGUUUUGUCUAUCUGUUCUGUUGCUAUUUUCAUUCGCCGAGUUGUUUUAGGGCUAUAACUCGGAUUUUAGGUUGUUUCUCUUAUUUUCAAACCCUUUCAUCAUUUACUCAAUGAAAUACAGUUUGUCCUUUUGUGCAUUAUGUUCUUAGUUUUUUUCUCGCUAGUUCUAGUGACAUUACAUGCAUGCGGAAUUUUUGUCCAGAUCAUAGAAAAUUGAUUUAGUCUUGAAUUGGAUAAGUAAGAAGGAGGCACUUUUGAAGAUGAAUAGAGACAUAAAACAGUUGAAAAAUAAGCAUAAGCCAAUUUUAUAUGGAACAAAAACAGUUAUGCUCAUGGAAGUGAAGGAUCUCUACCUUUUGAAUUAUUGAGAAGAUCGGGUUUAAGGAUAAUCGGACGAGUUAAAAUCUGUUUAGCACUAAUAGAUAGAAAGUGUUUUUCAAUAGAAGGUGUAUUCCAGACAACGUGAAAUGGAUUAGUUAGUGGCAAAAUACAUCUUCUACAUCAAGAAAAAAUUUAAGAAAAUUCAACCAAAUUGACAAGGGUCAUUCACAGCGAGGAAAGUAUUGCUCAUACAGCUUUAUACUGAAAAGACCCAAGAAAACAGGCAUGUUCAUCAAUGAUGUGAUUGCGAAAGGAUAUUAAUUGGCGUUCUCGAGGCUGAGAGGCCCUUUUUAUGUUAUCCAAACACUUUAUAUCCUUUGUUACCCCUUUUGAGUUUGUGUUAUUUUCUUUGACCACCCUCUUUUGGAAUCAAGUUUAAAGUCAAGAGUCAAAAAAAAAAGUUAAUGUUCCAAGAGUACAAACUGGGGUAAUUCUUAGAAAGUUCAAAAACAAUGAAGAAAAAAAGAACUGUCAAAGGUCCAUGCUCCCAGAAAAUGGAAGCUGGGGCAACUUGUUUUGAAAACAAAAAGAAAAAAGAAAGGAAAAAUAAAAAGAAAAAGAAAGAAAGAUGAAAAAAAGUAGUUAGGUCAGAUGUUUGAACUAUAUUAGACCUGAUUCCUUUAAAAUAAAGAUACGUAGGUAGCCUCACGGUUCGGUCCAACCAAAUAAGAAUUUAGGAGAAAAAGAAAAAAAAAUAGAAAAAUUCAAAAAUCCCCAGUAUUUGAAACUGGGGCAACGAUUUUAUUUUAUUUUUGAAAGAGUCGAUUCCAAGAGUUGUAAGUCUACAAUUCCUCAUUUUGAGUUUAUUUUGAGCCUUCAUGUCAACCCUUCAAUUCAACCCUAUCCAAAAAUCUUCCAAAUAAAGGUCUCCCGAAAUUCUUUCAAGAAUGCCAAGAGAAGCGUGUAAUGAGCAAUGGUUGUCACGCGACAUAGAACACUGUCAAGUUGCUCACAAAAGAAAAAGAAAAAGAACAAGAAAACUGAGAGAGCCUUACUAGUGAAAACCUUCACGGGCACUGUAAGGCGAUGGUAAGUAGAGAUAAAUAAAUAAGAGAGACUUGUAUGUGAAAAUUCCUCGGGACACCACUAGUCGAAAGUGAGUCGUGAAGCUGAUGCAAAGGAUUGGCACGAGCAAGCCCGACUUCAAAGGUCAUAAGAAUGGUAAAAGGGAAGAUUGGAUUAGUUUGAUAGAUUAGGUCGUUGAGUCCAAAAUGCAUGUCAUGAUCAUUAAGACUAGUAAUGGAAAAAAAAUAAAAAGUGAAAACAAAAAAAAGGAAAAAAAACUCUUCCUUCUAUCCUUCUGACGGAGGCAUUUCUUGUUAAUACUUGUUUCGUUUUAUCAUUGUGUCCUUCAAUCUGAGUCAGUUCUUGUCAAAACAAGCAAGAAAAGAUUUCAAAAUCUGCUACCAGCUUUUCAGUUGCACAAAGUAAAUUUUGCCAGCACACUCAGUUGUUACUGUCAACAUGCCUUGAGGAUUCAUGCAAAGGCCCCCCCAAAAGACUCUUGUCAGUCUACUUGGCGCAGGAAAAGAUAACUGGUGAUUUUCUCUUACAGACAAAUUGCUCAAAAAGCAGGAAGUCAUUCAAGAUAUCAGAAAAGGUCACCUAAGAAGAGAUCUCCAGUUGGGAUAAGGCUGAUUGAGCCACAAAUACAAAUGGUACUGGGUGUGAAAUAAUUAGGGUUGAUGUAGAGCAAAAAUCUGUUGAAACCGACUCAAGCUGAUUGAGUGGAAGCCGAGCUGCCCAAGACUCAAGGCCACA